GUUGCUGUCAAUGUCUCUCCAACAUGUUUAAUUUUCGGUGAAACAGAAUUUAAUAGCUUCGAACUAUUCUCAGAAGUGAAUUCGCAAAGUUGCUUCAUGCUUUUUCUAAUUACACAUAAUUAAUUAGAAUAUAGUGGCACAUAAUAAAUUAUUAUUGCGUUCUGGUUGGUUGGAACCACUAACAGCAAGCACUCUAAUAAAUUAUUUCAAUGAAACGACGAGACUGUAAGAUGAGAUUAAAGUCUGCGUGACAAUGUAUUUGUAUUGCUGACUUGUGUUUCUGCAGCUGGGUAAAGUACAAUUAAUUGGAUUGAUAUUGGCUCAUAUACGUGCAGCAGGUAUCUUUCCGUGGAAAUGCCAGUCGCCUUCGACAUUAUUGUGCUGUAAUAUUUAAAUUGCUGUCCAUGCAGUCCAUCGCUUAUAAAUCCUGGUGCAACUCGUCAGUUUCAGACCAACUUCGCGAGUUCUCAAGUGGUUCAGUUACUACUAAUAUAUCUACUAUAUAUCGAAAAAGAUAAUGUAUUUUAAAUGUACGUCUCUGUUCAUUAUUGGUUGUGUUAUGAUAUUAAACAACAAAGGU
Paramuricea clavata is the source of this 580-nucleotide non-coding RNA. The record is from the annotation of a GenBank genome assembly. NCBI's taxonomy places the organism in Eukaryota, Metazoa, Cnidaria, Anthozoa, Malacalcyonacea, Plexauridae.